RNAcentral lists this ribosomal RNA (859 nucleotides) under uncultured bacterium. RNAcentral describes it as "bacterial SSU rRNA". It matches the Rfam family "Bacterial small subunit ribosomal RNA", at positions 8 to 913 of the family's 1533-position model. The record is from RNAcentral.
AGGGUUUGAUCCUGGCUCAGGAUGAACGCUGGCGGCGUGCUUAACACAUGCAAGUCGAACGAACCUUCGGGUUAGUGGCGGACGGGUGAGUAACGCGUGAGAAUCUGCCCUCAGGAGGGGGAUAACGGUUGGAAACGACCGCUAAUACCCCAUAUGCCUACUGGUGAAAUGAAUUUCGCCUGAGGAUGAGCUCGCGUCUGAUUAGCUAGUUGGUGAGGUAAUGGCUCACCAAGGCUUCGAUCAGUAGCUGGUCUGAGAGGAUGAUCAGCCACACUGGGACUGAGACACGGCCCAGACUCCUACGGGAGGCAGCAGUGGGGAAUUUUCCGCAAUGGGCGAAAGCCUGACGGAGCAACGCCGCGUGAGGGACGAAGGCCUCUGGGCUGUAAACCUCUUUUCUCAAGGAAGAAGAUAUGACGGUACUUGAGGAAUAAGCCACGGCUAAUUCCGUGCCAGCAGCCGCGGUAAUACGGGAGUGGCAAGCGUUAUCCGGAAUUAUUGGGCGUAAAGCGUCCGCAGGCGGCUUUUCAAGUCUGCUGUUAAAGCGUGGAGCUUAACUCCAUCAUGGCAGUGGAAACUGAAAGGCUUGAGUAUGGUAGGGGCAGAGGGAAUUCCCGGUGUAGCGGUGAAAUGCGUAGAUAUCGGGAAGAACACCAGUGGCGAAGGCGCUCUGCUGGGCCAUUACUGACGCUCAUGGACGAAAGCCAGGGGAGCGAAAGGGAUUAGAUACCCCUGUAGUCCUGGCCGUAAACGAUGAACACUAGGUGUCGGGGGAAUCGACCCCUUCGGUGUCGUAGCUAACGCGUUAAGUGUUCCGCCUGGGGAGUACGCACGCAAGUGUGAAACUCAAAGGAAUUGA